GAGAAUGUCGACCCUUCGGUUAGUGACCGAAAAUGCGGCCGGAUAUUGGGUAUGUCAAACCUUCGGUGAAAGUCCGAGAAGUAGGCCGGAUAGGUAUUACCCUAGGUGUGUCAUUCUAAAUUAUUGGAGUAAUGCUUUGUGAGAAAAGCCGGAAUUUUUAGAAACUUGUCGGUUUGAGAAAUCACAACUUGGAAAGGUGUAUUUUGAUAUUAUCAUUUAAAGGAAU
Molecule: long non-coding RNA, 226 nt
Filed under: Actinidia chinensis (golden kiwifruit)
Lineage: Eukaryota; Viridiplantae; Streptophyta; Magnoliopsida; Ericales; Actinidiaceae
Description: long non-coding RNA (ACHI_LNC001894)
Source: RNAcentral